UCAGACCAAGAAAAAAUAGUUGGUAAAAGAGAGAUCAUGACGUACUUGUCAUCAUGGACAUGAACUCCCCACUCUUCAUCAUGGAAAACAAUGUAAGAUCUGUCUUUAACAUGAAACAAACCCAAAAACACCAUCGGGUCUAGUCAUAACAAAGGAAAAGAUUCAAGGCGAAAUAAAGUUAAGGACUAAGUCCAUCAAUGUAGAGAAAUGACAAAUGAAUAAUCAUGUUUUUAUGGUCAUCGUACAUUAGAGAUCAUGUGAUCA
This 264-nucleotide long non-coding RNA is filed under the name Brassica napus (rape). RNAcentral describes it as "long non-coding RNA (BNAP_LNC000627)". Lineage: Eukaryota; Viridiplantae; Streptophyta; Magnoliopsida; Brassicales; Brassicaceae. The record is from RNAcentral.